GAUGAACGCUGGCGGCGUGCCUAAUACAUGCAAGUCGAGCGAACGGACGAGAAGCUUGCUUCUCUGAUGUUAGCGGCGGACGGGUGAGUAACACGUGGAUAACCUACCUAUAAGACUGGGAUAACUUCGGGAAACCGGAGCUAAUACCGGAUAAUAUUUUGAACCGCAUGGUUCAAAAGUGAAAGACGGUCUUGCUGUCACUUAUAGAUGGAUCCGCGCUGCAUUAGCUAGUUGGUAAGGUAACGGCUUACCAAGGCAACGAUGCAUAGCAGACCUGAGAGGGUGAUCGGCCACACUGGAACUGAGACACGGUCCAGACUCCUACGGGAGGCAGCAGUAGGGAAUCUUCCGCAAUGGGCGAAAGCCUGACGGAGCAACGCCGCGUGAGUGAUGAAGGUCUUCGGAUCGUAAAACUCUGUUAUUAGGGAAGAACAUAUGUGUAAGUAACUGUGCACAUCUUGACGGUACCUAAUCAGAAAGCCACGGCUAACUACGUG
RNAcentral lists this ribosomal RNA (497 nucleotides) under uncultured bacterium. Its description in RNAcentral is "partial 16S ribosomal RNA". It matches the Rfam family "Bacterial small subunit ribosomal RNA", at positions 28 to 507 of the family's 1533-position model. The record is from RNAcentral.